GGGUUGUGAGGUUAAGCGACUAAGCGUACACGGUGGAUGCCCUGGCAGUCAGAGGCGAUGAAGGACGUGCUAAUCUGCGAUAAGCGUCGGUAAGGUGAUAUGAACCGUUAUAACCGGCGAUUUCCGAAUGGGGAAACCCAGUGUGAUUCGUCACACUAUCAUUAACUGAAUCCAUAGGUUAAUGAGGCGAACCGGGGGAACUGAAACAUCUAAGUACCCCGAGGAAAAGAAAUCAACCGAGAUUCCCCCAGUAGCGGCGAGCGAACGGGGAGCAGCCCAGAGCCUGAAUCAGUGUGUGUGUUAGUGGAAGCGUCUGGAAAGGCGCGCGAUACAGGGUGACAGCCCCGUACACAAAAAUGCACAUGCUGUGAGCUCGAUGAGUAGGGCGGGACACGUGGUAUCCUGUCUGAAUAUGGGGGGACCAUCCUCCAAGGCUAAAUACUCCUGACUGACCGAUAGUGAACCAGUACCGUGAGGGAAAGGCGAAAAGAACCCCGGCGAGGGGAGUGAAAAAGAACCUGAAACCGUGUACGUACAAGCAGUGGGAGCACGCUUCGGCGUGUGACUGCGUACCUUUUGUAUAAUGGGUCAGCGACUUAUAUUCUGUAGCAAGGUUAACCGAAUAGGGGAGCCGAAGGGAAACCGAGUCUUAACUGGGCGUUAAGUUGCAGGGUAUAGACCCGAAACCCGGUGAUCUAGCCAUGGGCAGGUUGAAGGUUGGGUAACACUAACUGGAGGACCGAACCGACUAAUGUUGAAAAAUUAGCGGAUGACUUGUGGCUGGGGGUGAAAGGCCAAUCAAACCGGGAGAUAGCUGGUUCUCCCCGAAAGCUAUUUAGGUAGCGCCUCGUGAAUUCAUCUCCGGGGGUAGAGCACUGUUUCGGCAAGGGGGUCAUCCCGACUUACCAACCCGAUGCAAACUGCGAAUACCGGAGAAUGUUAUCACGGGAGACACACGGCGGGUGCUAACGUCCGUCGUGAAGAGGGAAACAACCCAGACCGCCAGCUAAGGUCCCAAAGUCAUGGUUAAGUGGGAAACGAUGUGGGAAGGCCCAGACAGCCAGGAUGUUGGCUUAGAAGCAGCCAUCAUUUAAAGAAAGCGUAAUAGCUCACUGGUCGAGUCGGCCUGCGCGGAAGAUGUAACGGGGCUAAACCAUGCACCGAAGCUGCGGCAGCGACGCUUAUGCGUUGUUGGGUAGGGGAGCGUUCUGUAAGCCUGCGAAGGUGUGCUGUGAGGCAUGCUGGAGGUAUCAGAAGUGCGAAUGCUGACAUAAGUAACGAUAAAGCGGGUGAAAAGCCCGCUCGCCGGAAGACCAAGGGUUCCUGUCCAACGUUAAUCGGGGCAGGGUGAGUCGACCCCUAAGGCGAGGCCGAAAGGCGUAGUCGAUGGGAAACAGGUUAAUAUUCCUGUACUUGGUGUUACUGCGAAGGGGGGACGGAGAAGGCUAUGUUGGCCGGGCGACGGUUGUCCCGGUUUAAGCGUGUAGGCUGGUUUUCCAGGCAAAUCCGGAAAAUCAAGGCUGAGGCGUGAUGACGAGGCACUACGGUGCUGAAGCAACAAAUGCCCUGCUUCCAGGAAAAGCCUCUAAGCAUCAGGUAACAUCAAAUCGUACCCCAAACCGACACAGGUGGUCAGGUAGAGAAUACCAAGGCGCUUGAGAGAACUCGGGUGAAGGAACUAGGCAAAAUGGUGCCGUAACUUCGGGAGAAGGCACGCUGAUAUGUAGGUGAAGUCCCUCGCGGAUGGAGCUGAAAUCAGUCGAAGAUACCAGCUGGCUGCAACUGUUUAUUAAAAACACAGCACUGUGCAAACACGAAAGUGGACGUAUACGGUGUGACGCCUGCCCGGUGCCGGAAGGUUAAUUGAUGGGGUCAGCGCAAGCGAAGCUCUUGAUCGAAGCCCCGGUAAACGGCGGCCGUAACUAUAACGGUCCUAAGGUAGCGAAAUUCCUUGUCGGGUAAGUUCCGACCUGCACGAAUGGCGUAAUGAUGGCCAGGCUGUCUCCACCCGAGACUCAGUGAAAUUGAACUCGCUGUGAAGAUGCAGUGUACCCGCGGCAAGACGGAAAGACCCCGUGAACCUUUACUAUAGCUUGACACUGAACAUUGAGCCUUGAUGUGUAGGAUAGGUGGGAGGCUUUGAAGUGUGGACGCCAGUCUGCAUGGAGCCGACCUUGAAAUACCACCCUUUAAUGUUUGAUGUUCUAACGUUGACCCGUAAUCCGGGUUGCGGACAGUGUCUGGUGGGUAGUUUGACUGGGGCGGUCUCCUCCUAAAGAGUAACGGAGGAGCACGAAGGUUGGCUAAUCCUGGUCGGACAUCAGGAGGUUAGUGCAAUGGCAUAAGCCAGCUUGACUGCGAGCGUGACGGCGCGAGCAGGUGCGAAAGCAGGUCAUAGUGAUCCGGUGGUUCUGAAUGGAAGGGCCAUCGCUCAACGGAUAAAAGGUACUCCGGGGAUAACAGGCUGAUACCGCCCAAGAGUUCAUAUCGACGGCGGUGUUUGGCACCUCGAUGUCGGCUCAUCACAUCCUGGGGCUGAAGUAGGUCCCAAGGGUAUGGCUGUUCGCCAUUUAAAGUGGUACGCGAGCUGGGUUUAGAACGUCGUGAGACAGUUCGGUCCCUAUCUGCCGUGGGCGCUGGAGAACUGAGGGGGGCUGCUCCUAGUACGAGAGGACCGGAGUGGACGCAUCACUGGUGUUCGGGUUGUCAUGCCAAUGGCACUGCCCGGUAGCUAAAUGCGGAAGAGAUAAGUGCUGAAAGCAUCUAAGCACGAAACUUGCCCCGAGAUGAGUUCUCCCUGACCCUUUAAGGGUCCUGAAGGAACGUUGAAGACGACGACGUUGAUAGGCCGGGUGUGUAAGCGCAGCGAUGCGUUGAGCUAACCGGUACUAAUGAACCGUGAGGCUUAACCUUACAACGCCGAAG
Molecule: ribosomal RNA, 2925 nt
Filed under: Escherichia coli
Lineage: Bacteria; Pseudomonadati; Pseudomonadota; Gammaproteobacteria; Enterobacterales; Enterobacteriaceae
Description: bacterial LSU rRNA
Rfam family: Bacterial large subunit ribosomal RNA
Source: RNAcentral